UGGCCUCUGCCAGGGCUCACACAGUGGCAUAUGCCCAACUCUGUGGUCAUGAAGUCUCACAGGACAAUAAUACCUGAAGGUGCUCCUUUCCAGAAAAGAAAUCCUAGCAGCAGAGCUGGUUUAGAGGCUGUGGCAUUGACAUCUCUUCCAAAAGUCCUAAGCCAUGUUGCGGCAAAGAGCACCGCUCACUGAGAGAGGAGAGAAGAGAGCACAGCACACUCGGCGUCCCUGAGUCCUGAGAGAUUGGCAGCAGAUGUGGGUGGAGACAUUUCUGGAGAGAGGAGGUAGCUCCAAGAUGAAAAGUUCAGCCAACAUUUAUUUGAGGGUGGCGGAUGAUCUACAGCAAGAGCGUGGAGGUCGGAGGACGACUUCUGGGAGUCAGUCCUCUCCUUCCACCGCGUGGGUCAUGGAGAUCAACCUCAGGUCACCAAACUUCGGCAGCAAGCUCCGUUAUCUGCUGAGCCACCCCGCCAGCCUAAUAGGAAAUUUUAAACACAUAAAACAAAUAA
Microtus oregoni (creeping vole) is the source of this 509-nucleotide long non-coding RNA. RefSeq lists it as uncharacterized. The record is from RefSeq and is a predicted model, not a curated record. Lineage: Eukaryota; Metazoa; Chordata; Mammalia; Rodentia; Cricetidae. The transcript has 3 exons.